Molecule: long non-coding RNA, 519 nt
Organism: Xiphophorus couchianus (Monterrey platyfish)
Lineage: Eukaryota; Metazoa; Chordata; Actinopteri; Cyprinodontiformes; Poeciliidae
Exons: 2
Source: RefSeq, a predicted model, not a curated record
UAUGUAGAAAUGAUUAUUUUAUGGAUAAAAAGAAAAAAAUAAAUUGCUCUUGGGGGCCCCUGGUGGCCGCGGUAGGUACCGCAUGCUUCGCCAGUAACAUGAGUGCAUCCAAACGUCCAAAGUUCCGGUCAGAAGUAAAGUUAGCAAAACAAUGUCUCAAAAAGGACUUAUCCUUCAGGGAGGGAGAAAAGAAAGAGGAAGAAUAAAAAAAAGCCAAGAUAAAGAACUUAAGAGUCAAGCCCGGAACCAUAUCCUGCCAGAGGAUUAAUCUAUGCUGUUUUCCGAUUGCUCCUCACCCAGCCGGGCUCCAGACUUCACGGCCUGCCUGCUCUCUCCCAUUACCACCUAGGACCCUCAGAUACACUCACCUGGAUCCACGCCUCUCCCUCAGUGACUCAUCUCCACCAAAGAGACUAACCUGAGCCGGCCAGCAACCCCCAAACUCCCUGCAGAGCUCAUCACUGAAGAUUUAUGAAUCACUGACAAAUUCUCUGUGAAAUAAAUCUUCAUUGUACCAAA